AUAGUACUCCCUCCGUCCGAAAAUACUUGUAAUCAAAAUGGAUAAAAAAAAAUGUAUCUAGAAACUAAAAUACAUCUAAAUACAUCCUCUUUUAUCCAUUUUGAUGACAAGUAUUUCCGGACGGAGGGAGUAUCGG
This is a non-coding RNA of Triticum aestivum (bread wheat), 136 nucleotides long. NCBI's taxonomy places the organism in Eukaryota, Viridiplantae, Streptophyta, Magnoliopsida, Poales, Poaceae. The record is from Rfam.